This 324-nucleotide ribosomal RNA is filed under the name Triticum aestivum (bread wheat). RNAcentral describes it as "partial small subunit ribosomal RNA". The record is from RNAcentral. Lineage: Eukaryota; Viridiplantae; Streptophyta; Magnoliopsida; Poales; Poaceae.
AUGGCGCCGGCGGGAGGCGCGGGAGGCGCCGCCGCCGCGGCGAAGAGGGUGCCGAUGUACCGGCUGUUCGCGUUCGCCGACCGGCGGGACGCGGCGCUGAUGGCGGUCGGCGCCGCGGCGGCCAUGGCCAACGGCGUCGCGAUGCCCUUCCUCGCCUUCCUCGUCGGCGACCUCGUCGACGCCUUCGGCCCCGCCCACCGCGCCGACCUCGUCCACGCCGUCUCCAAGGUCCGCGCCGCCCCCGCCCCCGCCCCCGUCGAGGGUUCGCUCUCCUCUCUCCCUCGCGUUCCUGGGUGGUCCAUGAUUCAAUGCCGCGUCGUCUAG